CUGAAGAGGCAAGAGGUUUAUAAACACCUGCAGAGACCUACUUCCUGUGAUUCCUUGGUUUAAGAUCUGUGGCAAUGAAGAUCUCUGGAGUUUUAGGAGGGCUCCUCAUACUUUUUGCCUCGACUCAUGCUCUUGAAAAUAGUUACAACUAGAGAAAUUGAUGGUGUAAAAUUAUACAUUACAAAAGAAGAAGAGCUGAAAGGUAUAGUACUAAACAACCAUUAACAGACAUUUGAAGAAAUGAAUUCCAAGAAUGAGAGCUCCCAGGUUGCCUAUGGCACAGGUGAAGUGUUGCAGCUACUGCCAGCUGAUGGGCCAUGUUUUGAGAAGAUGCUAAGGGGUUUCCCUGGGCUGCCCCAGCAGAGGGUAAUUGCAGACAGCUGAAUGUGGCCAAAGGUUUAUAAGCACUCAAGGAACCCCCAGCUCCUUGCCAUUUCUUGUUUUCUAUGUUGUGUCUUGGAGUCUGGAGCAAUGAAGACCUCUGUGCUCUUAGGUGGCGUGUCCGGAGUUUGUUCCUUCUGAUGUUCGGAUGUGUUCGGCGUUUUCUUCCUUCUGGUGGGUUCGUGGUCUCGCUGGCUCAGGAGUGAAGCUGCAGAUCUUCGCGACACAGAUGUUCAGUGGACAAAGAAGACACUGUUUAGAUUGCAGCAAUGACUGAGUUGACUACUGAUGGCCUAGAUCACUGUCUGAUUGGUAUUAGGGCCAGCCACGUUAUGUACCGGACUUAAGAUUCUUCAAGUAAUUUAAUGGACAUUGUACCAUAGUCCUGCUGCUAUGAGCAAUAACUGCAAUGUGCUCUGAUGAUUGGUUGUUAGUCAGAAUGAAAAUAAGGCCUUUUGAUAAGAACACAGACAUUAGAAUUGGCGACAUACACCUGAGAGAUAACUGUCCUGUAACAAGACUGUUGUCAUUUAACUACGCGUUUUCUUAUCCUGUCACUUCUUGUGGGAUCAAGAAAAUUAUGUUCCAAACAAAUGAUGACGCCAUAUUAUCAGAGAUCAGUUACAAACCAAGGUUGCAUACUACCUAUGAAUUUCCAGUGGUUUGCUUUGUGAAGAGGCUUAAAUUCCCCUCUGUGAUGCAUUUUGGAAUGAGUGGGUUUGAUGCCCACACCUUGAAAGAAAUCCCUCAAAAAACAAAAGGACAAGAGUCACCAACUCCCACACAAAGUAAAACAUGGACACUUAAUUUUAACAGUGUUAAUAAGGAGCAACUAUCCAAGAAGUCACUGUAUCAAUAAUGCCUGUGUUAUAACACCCUCUCCUCCCUAAAGCAAGGGAACAAGUGAUACAUCUUGUCUGAAAACCAGUUUCAUCAAUACUGUUGAUGUGUCUGUACAAAGAUGAGUAGCAACAUCUGUUACCAGUUUCACUACAUUUUGGAGUUUUGAAUAACAUAUCUAUACCAUGAUAUUUAUACUUUUUAAUGAGUUAAUUUUAAGUGAAAUUGCCAUUCUAACUCUGAAAUCAAGCUCAUACAUAAU
This 1483-nucleotide unclassified non-coding RNA is filed under the name Homo sapiens (human). RNAcentral's name for it is "oocyte secreted protein family member 4B (ENSG00000285463.1)". The record is from RNAcentral. Lineage: Eukaryota; Metazoa; Chordata; Mammalia; Primates; Hominidae.